This 1199-nucleotide small RNA is filed under the name Oryza sativa Japonica Group (Japanese rice). Its description in RNAcentral is "sRNA Os05g0117832". The record is from RNAcentral. Lineage: Eukaryota; Viridiplantae; Streptophyta; Magnoliopsida; Poales; Poaceae.
UAAAUCUAAUUUCUUGCUAUAAGAGGAGCUCUCGGGUCUGUGAUUGAUGGUGGUGUAGCUUCUUGCACCUCUAAGAAAUGCUUCAUGUCUCCAUUUGCCUGCUUCAAACUCGCCCUCGACUCUCGGAAUGAUUUGAGAAGCUCAUCGUAAUCCGGGGUUCGCAACUGCUCAAUGGAUUCCAUGCUUGGCAGGUCGAUUUGCCGCCUUCUCGGAGUCGAACAUGAUGGUUCAUCCACCUGAGGUGUUCAAGGAGAAGAAGCAAUAGCAAUUUGGUCAGUAAGAGACAGAUCACAUUCUCCUAUCUGUUACUUUUCAUGACUACUCACCAGAUAUUCUUCCUCUAGGCAUUUCCCAGCAUUUUCAGUAAUCUCAACAACCCUGUGGUAAUGUCCUCCCUUCAACUCGCUUAUUUCCUCAUGGCAUGGUUUGAUUAUGGAGCCAAUGUUUGCGCACGCAUCAUGGUCAAGUUUUAGUGAACCUGAAAUAACAGAAGUUGCGGUGAGAAAGAAAAUUUGAUUGUCACGCACUGUGCUACAGUAACUCAAAAUUUUCACUGUAAAUCUUACUGUCGAUGGAAGAAAGAAGGGCCUUGUUUGCUAUAUCUAUUUCUUCAAGGGUAGUUGAUACCGCAGACGACAAUUUGGAACGCAGCGAUUGGUUAGCCUCGGUUCCAGUCCUGUUUCAUGCACAGACCAAUAUAGCAUAAUGGUCAUUGUUCAUAGCAUACGAUAAGAAUGUUUCAAGUACUUGAUAUUUUCUAUUCUGGUACCUGACUAUUGAAUCUGCCGAUUCCACAUUUCCUUUGCCAAGGCUGAAAAGAGAGUCCUCGGCGUUCUUCCACUGUUGUGCACCCAUGGUUGUCUUUGCCUUACUGCAGUUGAGAUAGCAAUGGUCAAACAUUGAGACAUCCGUGAUUCCGUAUAGCAUAGCAGAAGGUAUCACAAUUCACAGCAUGAUGCCAUGAUACUGAGUACUCACCAUUCCACAAGCACUUCUGCCAAGCACGACCUUCCACUGUCCACUGCAGUGGUAUCUUCAAUGUAAUUCUUCUCAGUUUCUUCCAUGUAAAAGCCCCACUUUUCCCGCACGGACGAAGUGAAGUCCUGGGCAGUUGAAAUUUCAUUCUGUAGGUGACUUGUGCGGUUUACAGCGCUCUCUCGAAGGUUACCUACUGCUGUUUGGACCUGCAGUACAUGUUC